RNAcentral lists this ribosomal RNA (770 nucleotides) under Dietzia sp. Its description in RNAcentral is "bacterial SSU rRNA". It matches the Rfam family "Bacterial small subunit ribosomal RNA", at positions 76 to 861 of the family's 1533-position model. Lineage: Bacteria; Bacillati; Actinomycetota; Actinomycetes; Mycobacteriales; Dietziaceae. The record is from RNAcentral.
CCCUUCGGGGGUACACGAGUGGCGAACGGGUGAGUAACACGUGGGUAAUCUGCCCUGCACUUCGGGAUAAGCCUGGGAAACUGGGUCUAAUACCGGAUAUGAACUCCUGCCGCAUGGUGGGGGUUGGAAAGUUUUUCGGUGCAGGAUGAGCCCGCGGCCUAUCAGCUUGUUGGUGGGGUAAUGGCCUACCAAGGCGACGACGGGUAGCCGGCCUGAGAGGGUGAUCGGCCACACUGGGACUGAGACACGGCCCAGACUCCUACGGGAGGCAGCAGUGGGGAAUAUUGCACAAUGGGCGAAAGCCUGAUGCAGCGACGCCGCGUGGGGGAUGACGGUCUUCGGAUUGUAAACCCCUUUCAGUAGGGACGAAGCGCAAGUGACGGUACCUGCAGAAGAAGCACCGGCUAACUACGUGCCAGCAGCCGCGGUAAUACGUAGGGUGCGAGCGUUGUCCGGAAUUACUGGGCGUAAAGAGCUCGUAGGCGGUUUGUCACGUCGUCUGUGAAAUCCCUCGGCUUAACCGGGGGCGUGCAGGCGAUACGGGCAGACUUGAGUACUACAGGGGAGACUGGAAUUCCUGGUGUAGCGGUGAAAUGCGCAGAUAUCAGGAGGAACACCGGUGGCGAAGGCGGGUCUCUGGGUAGUAACUGACGCUGAGGAGCGAAAGCAUGGGUAGCGAACAGGAUUAGAUACCCUGGUAGUCCAUGCCGUAAACGGUGGGCGCUAGGUGUGGGGUCCUUCCACGGACUCCGUGCCGUAGCUAACGCAUU